CAGUAGCCGCGGUAAUACGAAGGGUGUAAGUGUUAAUCGGAAUUACUGGGCGUAAAGCGUGCGUAGGCGGUGAGUUAAGUCUGCUGUGAAAUCCCCGGGCUCAACCUGGGAAUGGCAGUGGAUACUGGCUCGCUAGAGUGUGUCAGAGGAUGGUGGAAUUCCCGGUGUAGCGGUGAAAUGCGUAGAGAUCGGGAGGAACAUCAGUGGCAAAGGCGGCCAUCUGGGACAACACUGACGCUGAGGCACGAAAGCGUGGGGAGCAAACAGGAUUAGAUACCCCGGUAGUCCCUGUCUCUUAUAC
RNAcentral lists this ribosomal RNA (301 nucleotides) under uncultured bacterium. RNAcentral's name for it is "partial 16S ribosomal RNA". It matches the Rfam family "Bacterial small subunit ribosomal RNA", at positions 509 to 807 of the family's 1533-position model. The record is from RNAcentral.